Molecule: ribosomal RNA, 496 nt
Filed under: uncultured bacterium
Lineage: Bacteria
Description: bacterial SSU rRNA
Rfam family: Bacterial small subunit ribosomal RNA
Source: RNAcentral
GACGAACGCUGGCGGCAUGCCUAAUACAUGCAAGUCGAACGAACCAAACUGAAGAUUGAUGCUUGCAUCAUGAUUCAGACCUUGGUGAGUGGCGGACGGGUGAGUAACACGUGGGUAACCUGCCCAAAAGUGGGGGAUAACAUUUGGAAACAAGUGCUAAUACCGCAUAACAACUACUUUCACAUGAUCGUAGCUUGAAAGAUGGCUCUGCUAUCGCUUUUGGAUGGACCCGCGGCGUAUUAGCUAGUUGGUGAGGUAAUAGCUCACCAAGGCAAUGAUACGUAGCCGACCUGAGAGGGUAAUCGGCCACAUUGGGACUGAGACACGGCCCAAACUCCUACGGGAGGCAGCAGUAGGGAAUCUUCCACAAUGGGCGAAAGCCUGAUGGAGCAAUGCCGCGUGAGUGAAGAAGGUUUUCGGAUCGUAAAACUCUGUUGUUGAAGAAGAACAUGCGUGAGAGUAACUGUUCACGUACUGACGGUAUUCAACCAGAAAG